This 446-nucleotide ribosomal RNA is filed under the name uncultured bacterium. RNAcentral describes it as "bacterial SSU rRNA". It matches the Rfam family "Bacterial small subunit ribosomal RNA", at positions 84 to 518 of the family's 1533-position model. The record is from RNAcentral.
CUCCCGUGAGAGUGGCGGAUUGGGAGGAACACGUGAGCAACCUGCCCUGGAGAUGGGGAAAACCGUUGGAAACGACGGCUAAUACCGAAUGUUGCGCCGAGGGCAUCCUCCGAGCGCGAAGGGGGCCGCAAGGCUCCCGCUCCGGGAUGGGCUCGCGCACCAUCAGCUAGUUGGCGGGGUAACGGCCCACCAAGGCUCACGGUUAGCUGGUCUGAGAGGAUGGCCAGCCCCACUGGGACUGAGAUACUGCCCAGACUCCUACGGGAGGCUGCAGUCGAGGAUCAUUUGCAAUGGGCGAAAGCCUGACAAUGCGACGCUGCGUGGAGGAAUGGAGGCCUUCGGGUUGUAAACUCCUGUCAUGGGGGAACAGGCGAGGAUACCCAACACGUAUCUUAGUUGAGUGUACCCCAAGAGGAAUUGGCGGCUAACUCUGUGCCAGCAGCGGC